AGCCUACGGGAGGCAGCAGUGGGGAAUAUUGCACAAUGGGGGAAACCCUGAUGCAGCGACGCCGCGUGAGCGAAGAAGUAUUUCGGUAUGUAAAGCUCUAUCAGCAGGGAAGAAAAUGACGGUACCUGACUAAGAAGCCCCGGCUAACUACGUGCCAGCAGCCGCGGUAAUACGUAGGGGGCAAGCGUUAUCCGGAUUUACUGGGUGUAAAGGGAGCGUAGACGGCAGCGCAAGUCUGGAGUGAAAUGCCGG
Molecule: ribosomal RNA, 252 nt
Filed under: uncultured bacterium
Lineage: Bacteria
Description: partial 16S ribosomal RNA
Rfam family: Bacterial small subunit ribosomal RNA
Source: RNAcentral